This 88-nucleotide transfer RNA is filed under the name Spirochaetales bacterium. RNAcentral's name for it is "tRNA-Ser". It matches the Rfam family "tRNA". Rfam says of the family: Transfer RNA (tRNA) molecules are approximately 80 nucleotides in length. Lineage: Bacteria; Pseudomonadati; Spirochaetota; Spirochaetia; Spirochaetales. The record is from RNAcentral. RNAcentral also lists the same sequence under 2 other names.
GGAGAGAUGACCGAGAGGCCGAAGGUGCACGCUUGGAAAGCGUGUGUACCCCAACAGGGUACCGCGGGUUCGAACCCCGCUCUCUCCG